GGAAAUUGAAGUAUUUCCGUAUAAAAGAGCUAAAAGAUGUGCUCACUCAGUUACAACUUUCAAAGCAGGGAAAGAAGCAGGAUCUUGUUGAUCGCAUAUUAUCCGUUCUCUCAGAUGAACAAGUUUCGAAAAUGUGGGCUAAGAAGAAUGUUGUUGGAAAAGAACAAGUGGC
Molecule: non-coding RNA, 172 nt
Organism: Cajanus cajan (pigeon pea)
Lineage: Eukaryota; Viridiplantae; Streptophyta; Magnoliopsida; Fabales; Fabaceae
Source: RefSeq, a predicted model, not a curated record